Molecule: long non-coding RNA, 6214 nt
Filed under: Homo sapiens (human)
Lineage: Eukaryota; Metazoa; Chordata; Mammalia; Primates; Hominidae
Description: HSALNT0038236
Source: RNAcentral
AUAGAUGGUAAAUAUUUCUUGCAGAUCUUUAGAGGUAUCAGAUUCUCAGUUACUCUUCCUUAGAUUUGGACAAGAGAGGGCCUCUGAGAAAGCCUGGCUAUAUCAAUGCAGAUUUUCUCUACAGAUGCAACUCUCCCCAACAAAAAGACAGCUUUUCAACUGUUCUCGUAUUUCCAGCCCUUCUGAAUAGCCAUCUUGAAAUAUGUUAAAGAAUUCUGUUUUGGGGUGAAAUAUUUUGGUUUCCCUCAGUGCAAAUUACGAGAAAGAGCCAAUGUUGUACUGGGUGAGUGGUAUCUGAUAUCAGGAGCAGAGUAGAAGUCAAACGAUAUUGUUCGGAUUUGUGUCUCCACCCAAAUCUCUUGUCAAAUUGUGAUCUUCAGUUGGACAGGGGCCUGGUGGGGGGUGACUGGAUCAUAGGGACAAUUUCCCCCUUGGUCUUCUCACAAUAGUGAGUGAGUUGUCACAAGAUCUGGUUGUUUAAAAGUGUGUAGUACCUUCUAGAAGUUCUCCCUCCUACUCCAGUGAUAUAAGACAUGCCUGCUUUUCCUUUGCCUUCCACCAUGAUUGAAAGUUUCCUGAAGCCUCCCCAGCCAUGUUAACCUGUACAGCCUGUGGAACUGUGAGUCAAUGUAACAUUUUUUUUCUUUAUAAAUUACCCAGUCUCAGGUCAUUCUUUAUAGCAAUGCGAGAAUGGACUAAUACAGAAAAUUGGUACUGAGGAGUGAGGCAUUGCUAUAAAGAUACCUAAAAAUGUGGAAGUGACUUUCAAACUGGGUAAGGGGCAGAGUUUGGAACUGGGUCAUGGACAGAGGUUGAAACAGUUUGGAGGGCACAGAGGAAGACAGGAAGAUGAGAAAAAGUUUGGAACUUCCUAAAAAGUUGUUAAAUUCUUGUGACCAAAAUGCUGAGCGUGAUAUGGACGAUGAAGUCCAGGCUGAGGCGGUCUCAGAUGGAGAAGAGGAACUUACCAGGAACUGGAGCAAAGAUCGCUUUUGUUAUGCACUAGCAAAGAGAUUGGAAGUAUUGUGCCCCUGCCCUAGAGAUCUGUGAAACUUUGAACUUGAGAGUGAUAAUUUAGAGUAACUGGCUGAAGACAUUUCUAAGCAGCAAAAUGUUCAAGACAUAGCAUGGCUGCCUCUUACAGCCUAUGCUUAUAUUCAUGAGGAAAGCAAUGACCUGGAAUGAGAUAAAAGGGAAGCAGAGUGUAAAAGUAUGGAAAUUUGCAGCCCAGCCAUGUGGUAGAAAAGAAACAACAAUUUUCUGGGGAGGAAUUCAAGCUGGUUGCAGAAAUUUGCAUAAGUAAAGAGGACCCUAAUGUUAAUAGCCAAGACAAUGGGGAAAAUGCCUUGAAGGCAUUUCAGAUACCUUCAUGGCAGCCUCUCUCAUUACAGGCCUGGAGGCCUAGGAGCGAAAAAUGGUUUUACAGUCUAGGUCCAGGGCCCCACUGCCCUGAGCAACCUCAGGACACUGCUCCCUGCAUCCCAGCCACUCCGGUCUCAGCCAUGGCUAAAAGGGCCCGAGAUACAUCUCAGGCCACUGCUUCAGAAGGUGCAAGUCACAAGCCUUGGUGGCUUCCAUAUAGUGUUAAGCCUGCAGGUGCACAGAGGGCAAGAGUUGAGGCUUGGGAGCCUCUGCCUAGAUUUCGGAGGAUGCAUGGAAAUGCCUGGGUGUUCAGGCAGAAGUCUGCUGUGGGGGCAGAGCCCUCAUGGAGAACCUCUACUAUGGCAGUGCAGAGGGGAAACGUGGGCUUGGAGUCCUCACACAGAGUCCAAGUGGAGCCAUCCUCCAGAACCCAGAAUGGAUCCAUCGACAGCUUGCAUCAUGCAGCUGGAAAAGUUGCAGGCACUCAAUGCUAGCCCAUGAAGGCAGCCGAGGGAGCUGCACCCUGGAGAGUCACAGGGUCAGAGAUUUCUAAGGCCUUGGGAACCCACCCCUUGCAUCAGUGCGGCCUCAAUGUGAGACAUGAAUUCAAAGGAGAUUAUUUUGGAGCUUUCAUAUUUAAGGACUACCCUGCUGGCUUUCAGACUUGCAUAGGGCCUAUAGCCCCUUUAUUUUAGCUGAUUUUUCCCUGUUGCAAUGAGUUUAUUUAAUCAUUGCCUGUACCCUCAUUAUAUCUUGGAAGUAAUUAACUUGUUUUUUAUUUUAUAGGUUCAUAAGCAGAAGGGACUUGCCUUUUCUCGGAUAAGAUUUUGGACUGUGGACUUUUGAAUUAAUGCUGAAAUGAGUUAAGACUUGGGGAACUGUUGAGAAGGGAUGAUUGUAUUUUGCUAUGUGAGAAGGACAUGAGAUUUGGGAAGGGCCAGGAGCGAAUGAUAUGGUCUGGAUUUGUGUCCCUGCCCAAAUCUCAGGUGGAAUUAUAAUCCCUGGUGUUGGAGGAGAGGCUGGGUGGGAGGUGAUUGGAUCAUGGGGGGAGACUUCCCCCUUGCUAAUCUUGUGAUAGCAAGUGAGUUCUCAUGAGAUCUGGUUGUUUAUUUAUUAUUUACUUAUUUAUUUAUUUUUGAGACAGGGUCUGGCUCUGUCACCCAGGCUGGAGUGCAGUGGCAUGAUCUGGGCUCACUGCAACCUCUGCCUUCCAGGCUUAAGCAAUUCUGUCAUCUCAGCCUCCCAAGUAGCUGGGUGAUAUGGUUUGGCUCUGUGUCCCCACCCAAAUCUCAUCUUGAAUUUUAUUCCCAUAAUUCCCACAUGUUGUGGGGGGCACCUGGUGGGAGAUAAUUUGAAUCAUGGGGGUGGUUCCCCCAUACUGUUCUCAUGGUAGUGAAUAAAUCUCACAGGGUCUGAUGGUUUUAUCAGGGAAUUUCACUUUUGCAUCCUUCUCAUUUUCUCUUGCUGCUACCAGGCAGGAGGCACCUUUCGCCUCCUGCCAUGAGUCUGAGGCAUUCCCAGCCAUGUGGAACUGUAAGUCCAAUUAAAUCUCUUUUUCUUCUCAGUCUCAGGUAUGUCUUUAUCAACAGCAUGAAAACAGACUAAUACCUUGGGACUACAGGCAUGUGCUACCAUGCUUGGGUAAUUUUUGCGUUUUUUGUAGAGACAGGGUUUUGCAAUGUUGCCCAGGCUGUUCUCAAACUCCUGAGCUCAAGUGAUCCACUCGCCUUGGCCUCCCAAAGUGCUGGGAUUACAGGUGUGAGCCACCACGCCUGGCCUCUGGUUGUUUAAAAGUGGGUAGCAACUCCUCCAUUGCUCUCUCCCUCCUACUCCAGCCAUUGGGAAGUGGGUGUGGCUGUCAAUGAGCUCCUCAUUACCAUGCCCUAGUUGGCUGGCAUGGGCCACUAAUCUGGCAGGGGGCUUGGUCAGCUGCUUGAAGGCACAGGUUGGGCAUAGACAGUGCCAUUUUAAAUUGCUCAGGAGCCAGUCAGAUGGGCCUUUUGCUUUCUUAUCCAAUUCCCUACCAAUUAUGCCUUCAACAACAAGAUACAAUAGGAAGUGAUACCCAAGUGAGAUCAUUUUCAAAAUCACCAUUGAUUUGGUUUGCAGCAUGGUACAGAGUACCAAGAGAUGUAAACCAAAAAUAAAAUUCCCUGAUCAACUGAAUCAACCCCUCCUCUCGGCCAAGGACAUUCCAAAGUUAACCAGAAAAACUAUUUCAGGCCGUGAUGGGAAGUGAGGGUCAGACAUGAUUCAUUAUACCCUCCUCCCUUUGGAAUUCAGGCACAGCUGACCAGCAUUAACAUUAAAAUAGAGAUCUUAAGACUGAUGAAACACACUUUUUGUAGCAAUAAGACACCAAAUUUCAGCCUGACUCUAGUAUGGCAUCACAUGACAGAUAGUGGGCCUUGAAAGAACUCAAAGUAUUUUACCUCAAAAUAUAUUACUUUGACGGAGGAUACUAGAGAAAUGCAUUUAGUUUCGGUAUCUGCUAACUUAGCAAAUACCUGCCCAAUUUGAUAAUCAGUUUUGUCUAUAACAUGAUUUCCCUAAGGGCAGACCUCAUGUCUUUUGUAGUAGUUCCACAAUACCACCACACUGGUAGACAUCAAGUGGACACUCAAUAGUUUUUUUUUUUUUUGAGACGGAGUUUCGCUCUUGUUGCCCAGGCUGGAGUGCAAUGGCACAAUCUCGGCUCACGGCAAUCUCUGCCUCUCGGGUUCAAGCUACUCUCCUGCCUCAGCCUCCUGAGUAGCUGGGAUUACAGGCAUGCACCACCACGCCAGGCUAAUUUUGUAUUUUUAGUAGAGAUGGGGUUUCUCCAUGUUGGUCAGGCUGGUCUCCAACUCCUGACCUCAGGUGAUCCGCCUGCCUUGGCCUCCCAAAGUGCUGGGAUUACAGGCGUGAGCCACCGUGCCCAGCCAAUACUUUCUAAUCUACUGAAAGCUUUUCUCCCUUACUUAAAUGCCCUUAGGUUUUCAUCACAUACAAAUUAAAAACUCUCUUGCCUAGUUUCCAAAGCACGCUUCAGUCUCCCCAGAACUCACCUGACCUGUCUUAUUUCCCACUGCUUCUCUACAUAUAUGCCAAACCAGUUUUACACUUGCCUAUGAACACACCUUUUUUGUCUUGGUCAUCAUAGUUUUACUCACUUGGAAAAAAAUCCUUUUCCCCCCUUAUUAAAAUCCUACCCAUCACUGAAAUCAAGCUCAGAUUUCACCACUUUUUAAAAGUCUUCUCUAUCAGUAUCUACCUGAAUAGGUCACUCCAGGACUCUGGUCCAUCCCCUCAUGGGCAUGACAACAAGUGGGGUACAUAGUUGGCUGGGGCAAAAUUAAUGUGAGUAGAGUUAAUUUAGGCCAAGCUUGAAGAUUGCAACCGAGGAGCACAGAUUCAAGUUGCCUUGAAUAUACACACUGAUUAGCAGCCACCUUCAAGCAAACACUGCCUAGGGAUGCUUAUUCUAUGGAUGUUGGGAACUUUUAUUCAAAUCUCUGUGAAUAUAUUACUCCUCCAACUUGCCAGUAAACCCCUUGAAACCUAUGACUUGAUUGCAUGCAAUAACCCUUAAUACUUUAGAUAUCUCAGAACCUCCCAAGUUUAUGACGUUCACUACAGCAUGAUUUACUCCAUAAAAUGUAGUAAGGUGGCCAGGAGCGAUGGCUCAUGCCUGUAAUCCCAGCACUUUGAGAGGCCGAGGUGGGCAGAUCAUUUGAGGUCAAGAGUUCGAGACCAGCCUGGCCAACAUGGUGAAACCCUGUCUCUACUAAAAAUACAAAAGUUAGCCGGAUGAUAGUGGUGCAUGCCUGUAAUCCCAGCUACUCGUGAGGCUGAGGCAGGAGAAUCACUUGAUCCUGGGAGGCGGAGGUUGCAGUGAGUCGAGAUCGAGCCACUGCACUCCAAUCUGGGUGACAGAGUGAGAUCCCAUCUCAAAACAAAACAAAAACAAACAAACAAAAAAACGUUGUAAGGUUCAAAUUCAAAAUAAGUCUUUUAUAUACGAUAAUUUUUAAAAAUUGUCAACCUCAAUCCAUUUAAUUACAUCUUAGAAGGAAAUCAAAUCAACAAGCAUUUGUCAAGCUGAUCAUGUGCCCAGCAUUCUGGUAGGUACUGCAGAAAAUAAGAUGAUAUAGAGUACUCUUGUGACAGACUGAAUAUAGAAAUGGACAAUGACCAGAACAUAUAUAAAAAUAGAACUCUGACCUACAACCUCUCCAGGAACUAGUCCAGAAAGACAACAGCUAUUUCUGCAUUAAUCAUCCCAGGACUUGAUCAACUGCCAGUUUCCUUAGUUUUUGUCCUGUUUCCAACUUAGGACCAACCAGAGAAAGCCAAAUAUGUAUCCUCAACUGACCACAUAGGAUGCCGUGCUUCCACUUAACCUGCCUCCAGCCAGCAACAUCAAAUCAGGGCAUACCUGAAGUCUUUCCUUUUUUCACAUUAUAAAGCUUUCACACUCUCCUGCCUGCCUUCCGAUCUCUGAAAAACACAAGUGAUGGUGGCUGACUGCUUUGCUACAGCAAGCUUUGAAUAAAUAUCCUUUGCUUGUACUCAUUUGAGUGUUCUCCAUUUAUUUCUGCUCUUGGAAUUACAGAAUUAUUAUAGGUGGUUUCAAUUAUUAAUUUAUACCCCCAAAGACUCAAGAUAUAGUCAUUUAUAAUUUUAUUAGGGCUGGGAUUUGAAUUAUACUAUUUGAGACUGAUAUAUGGCAGUUAGUGACUGCCCUGUACACACAUAUGAUUUUGCUUUUGUAUUCACACUGUGACACAUGCACCUUACUGGGGAAAUUAUAUUCUCUAGAGUGUAUUUUGGGGGAUUAUUUUGGAAGGCAUUGAACUUAACACCUUAUGUA